Molecule: transfer RNA, 19 nt
Filed under: Rhampholeon spectrum
Lineage: Eukaryota; Metazoa; Chordata; Lepidosauria; Squamata; Chamaeleonidae
Description: partial tRNA-Leu
Source: RNAcentral
GCUUUUAAAGGAAGACAGA